GACCAGAACCUCUCUCUCCAAGAGAAGACAGCACUUUAGCCUCUGCUGGUACACAAACAACAGCUUCAGAAUACUCCUGACCAACAACCUUGACACUUGACAUGUUUGCUACUUAUGCUCAGGGGUGGAAGAGUAUGCAGCACCUACUAUGUUUGCACCCUGUUCCUGCUCAACUCAGUUUACCUCACCUGUGGUCUCGAAUUAGACACCCCCACAGACAAGUAGAUGCCAUGGUGGCAGGUCUUCUGGCCUUCUCUCUCAACCUCUUCCUGUCUCACGAGCAGCAACUGUUAGGUGUGAGCUGCAUUGCCUACAAAACUUUGCAGCAGGAGUAGGUUCAAGUACCUUGUGGUAAAUGCUACGUGGUCUGAACUGGCUUCCUUCUCUGAGCAAUCCAUUCCCUGAGCAGACUUACGGUCUGUCACGGGGUCUGUUUCUGAAGAAAUAUAGCUAAUGACAAUGUCGCCUUACUUAAGGACUAAAGAGGAUUUCCUGAUGCUCAGCAUGGGGGAAGGGCAUUCUCCAAGUCCUGAGAUCCUGCCCGGGCUUGUUCCAGCCAUGGCAGGGGAGCUGAGAAUGGUGGAAGGAAGAAUAAUAAUUGGCUGUGUGUUGGCUGGGAGGGAGGGAGUGUCAGGGAGCUCUUGUGCCUCCAUUGGACUCUCCUCAUGUAGCCAAUGGGGCAGGACUGACUAACCUGCUUCUUUUAGGCUGAAGGUCAGCAAACCUUUCCGGACAGGAAAUGAGUACUUUCAGCUUUGAUGGCUUCCUAUCUCUGUACAUCUAGCCAGGACUGCCAUCUUAGCAGAGAGCAUUAGUUGACACACACAGGAAGAAGAUGGCUGUCUGCAAUCAAACCAUGUCCAUGGACACUGGAAUUUCAGCAUCUUGCAUUUUUUUAAGACUAUAAAAUGAUGUUCUUUAUAAAUCUUUCCAAUCAUUUCAAAGCGUAAAAUCCACUCACAGGAUGACAAGAUGCCUGAGUGACUGAAGAUGCUUGCUACCAAGCCCUGGUGAUCUUAGUUUAAUUUCUAGAACCCACAUAGACGAAGAGGAGAAUAGACUCGCCGACAUUGAACGUUGUCCUCAGACUCCCACAAGCAUGUCCCAUGCACACACAAGCACACACAAGUCAAUCAAACAAUAAAAAUGAAUAAACGCACUUUUUAAAUGAAUGAGAAAACUGACACCAUGCAUAGCCUCCAGGUGUAUGAAAGCAAGGAAGAAGUAGACGCUGUCCGUUGCAGGCUGUCUUGGUUAUUGUUUUAUUGCCAUAACAAAGCAUCAUGACCAAGGCAGCUUGUAAAAGAAAGAAUUUAUUUUGGGGAUCAGAGUUCCAGAUUGU
This is a long non-coding RNA of Mus musculus (house mouse), 1342 nucleotides long. RefSeq annotates it as predicted gene, 54296. NCBI's taxonomy places the organism in Eukaryota, Metazoa, Chordata, Mammalia, Rodentia, Muridae. The transcript is spliced from 3 exons. The record is from RefSeq and is a predicted model, not a curated record.